UCGCUUCUGUUAGUCCAAGAUCCCAUCCCCAACUAACUCUCUUUUCAUUACUGCAGAGCUUAAGUAGGACUUGUUAAUAGACUAUUGCAUU
This 91-nucleotide long non-coding RNA is filed under the name Sus scrofa (pig). Its description in RNAcentral is "lncRNA (ENSSSCG00015020570.1, ENSSSCG00060040570.1)". The record is from RNAcentral. Lineage: Eukaryota; Metazoa; Chordata; Mammalia; Artiodactyla; Suidae.